This 507-nucleotide long non-coding RNA is filed under the name Setaria viridis. RNAcentral describes it as "long non-coding RNA (SVIR_LNC004097)". The record is from RNAcentral. Lineage: Eukaryota; Viridiplantae; Streptophyta; Magnoliopsida; Poales; Poaceae.
AGACUCCUUUUGCUUUUCAUCUUAAAGACUAUCGAUCAUGUAAUAAAUAUAAUACUCUCUUUACGUUACGGUAGUGUCUAUGGUAUCCAUUGAAGUUGUUGCAUGUGUCUAACUUGAUCCUGACGCACAUGUGAUUCAUUCAUUUUAUUUUGCCUUUAGAACCGGGUGUGAUAGAAGUGGUACCAGAGCCGUAUUGACUGUAAAAUGUUAGCCUAGUUAGAAAAUGGUUGAAUUUAAGGAUUAUAAUGCUUUAAUAGCCAUUCUUACUUAAUGGUUGUUUUCAAUCUGCUUUAAUAAGAUUAUCCUUGCUUUUAUCCCAUCCUUAUUUCUCUAUAUGAUUCUUUAUCUAAAUUCAGUCUAUUUUAUUUUCUUUAUCUUUAGAUGGUCUGCACCAAGUGAACUGCUCGCAAAGUGCCUUUCCUCAUUAUCGUCUUCAGGAGCCCGAGGAAUAGCUCAAAGAACUUGCUUACUACUACUACUAUCCUGGUGAUGACUCAGAUGAGGAGC